AAAAGCCCGCGGGAGUUUCAAAUAAACAGCUUUUCACCGCUGGAAUCCAAAGAGACUUGUGGCUCGUUCCUCCUAGUGAAGGGGGAUCGUGCUACUGAAACCCUCUCUGAGAAGCUGCGAGCGAGGAGUCACUAGCAAUCAGCUCUGUUAGGAAGAUGAGAAGUUUUGGCAGAAGAGUCACUUGGCUAGGUAGGAUGCUUCUGGAUGAACUGAAACACAAGAACACACAAGAAGUGGAAACUAGGCAACAAAGGAGGAAUACAAACAGAAUUGCUUGAGCACUUGGAGCAAAAUCAGAAAGACCAAAACCCAGCUGCAGAUAAAAGUACUGAGGAACAUAAGGGAUAGAAUGCCAAAAUGUGAGGUCUGGAAAUCCAAAAGUAAAGUAAUGGUCCUGUCUUGCAUCCCGAUGGUUGGAAACUGAUCUAUGGGGACUAUGAAAAAAUGCAAGAUCAUGCAUCAACAUGUAUUGAAUGAGAAAAAAAAGAAAGUAAUACAAACCAAUGUUUACUUAAACAAUAACCAUUGACAGCAAGAGACACACAGAUGGAAAUCCAAUAGCUUCUAUCUCAGUGGGAGGUUUCAUUUGAAGACCUUGAUGGGGAUGUGAUUGAACUGGAGCACUCUAAUUUACAUCAUGGAGAAUCUAUCAUGAUGUCUUUUUUAUGGCACUGCUGUUCCAAACUAGGUCUCCUAUGAGAAGCUGGUCACAAGCAGGGAGAAGGAAAGACUUCAGUUUGAAUAAGAGGAAAAAGAAGACUUUCAAGUACUACCAAAUACAAGCUGUAUUACAAUAGUCUGCUCUCCUACAGACACAAGUAAUGGCAGAACCAUGACUUUGGAUGUUUUUUAAAGAGUCUGGUAAAGAGAACAGCAGAGGAGCUACGGGGCAUAUGUGAUGUGCAGUGCUGUAUUGCCUUAUAGGUUAAGGAAGGAACAGAAUUGCAUAAUGUCCUGCAAGUAAAUGGCCCAAAAUGUCCUUUUUAAGUGUUACUAUUUCAUUUACAAUGAUAGAAUGAAAGAGUAGAGAGAAGCUGUCCAUUAUAAUGAGUGCAGAACUAAUUCUUUCACUCAGGGAAUGUUAGUGUCAGCAAAAUGUAUGGAGAGGUCCUUGACAGAAAAAGCCCUAGAAGUAAUGGAAAGUGCCAGCAAAGAAUUCUAUGAUGCAAGCAUAAUUUUCUGUUAAAUUCUACCAGAUGGUCCACAAGGCCUAUAAAAGUUCUUUGCAGUUAUAAAUCUUACAGAAUUUUUACUCCCAGGGCUAAUCUUGUAAUUGCUAAUCAGCGAAAGCUGAAGUUCUUUCUUUAUCUGUGAUUACACACAAAGGUGUUUUACUUCUAGUCUGCCUGACCUUUUGGGGAAAGCAAAUUCUUUAUUAUUGAUCAGGAGGUAAAUCUACUGGAGGAGGGGGGAGUAGCAUAAUCCUUGCGAAGUACAGCCAGAGUCUGCUUGGGUGUUUGGUAACACAGUGACUGUGGUAGGAGGUCCUUUUCUUCCAUAUACUUCCGUGAUGCCCAGGGUACCCAAAUAUGUGUGAGAGUGCGAAUAGGGGGCUCGUGGUGCAUGUGUACAUCUCCCAGUUUGGUACGUGCCUCCUCUAUUUCCUCCUUUUUUGUUUUGUUUUCUCUAUGUAUCUUAAUUAUAUCAUCCUAAAUAUCCUAGGAUCCUAGAAUCCAUUUUAAGACUGCUCUAGCCAGCACCAUAUUAUUUGAACCCUUCGUAACACUCUCCACAUGAGGUCAGCAGCAAAAUCUCUAGUAGAAACUUGGUAGCUGUCACUUACAGACUUACUUUAGUUCCUGAUACCUCUCACUUAUUCUGCAAACUCUUUGGACCAGGUUUGUAUCUCACCAUUUGCCAAUAUUAACCUUAGCAUAAUCUCAACUGGGGUGUGUAGAGACAGUUGUGAUACAAAUAAUUUUCAAAUUACAUCUUUUAUUAUUGAAAAUGUAAUUAUUAUUAUUUAGGUCAUUUUUUUUCUUAAUCCUUGUUAUUUUUUCCUCUGAUAAAAAGAACUGUCUCACAACAGCAGGAUAUACAAAUUUUCACGGUAAGGGAAAAAAAGGAGAAAAAAGUCUUUUAAUAAAAAUUUAAUCUCACUGAAGUGUAGGCAGUUACACUCAAAGCACAUACCAGCCUCAGAAUAUCGUUAUUUGUCAAAAGUUUUGUGAAGUUCAAUUCCUUCAUUGUAUAUCAUUCUCUUGGUGCCUGCUGAGUAGCUAAGAAAUUUCAAUCAUGAUUCUAGCAAAAUAACUACUAUGGUAAGACUGGCUUAGAUUCUUACAGUGAUUUACCAGCAAAAAGCACUAAUGGAAUCACUAACUUACUUU
This is a long non-coding RNA of Lepidothrix coronata (blue-crowned manakin), 2330 nucleotides long. RefSeq lists it as uncharacterized. The transcript has 4 exons. Lineage: Eukaryota; Metazoa; Chordata; Aves; Passeriformes; Pipridae. The record is from RefSeq and is a predicted model, not a curated record.